UUACGGUCAUAUUACGUUGAAACACCGGUUCUCGCACGAUCACCAAAGUUAAGCAACGUUGAACGUGAAUCAAUAUCUAGAUGGGUGACCCCUUGGAAAUACUAGGUGUUGUAAG
Molecule: non-coding RNA, 115 nt
Organism: Acanthosepion pharaonis
Lineage: Eukaryota; Metazoa; Mollusca; Cephalopoda; Sepiida; Sepiidae
Source: the annotation of a GenBank genome assembly